UGCCAGCAGCCGCGGUAAUACGGAGGGGGGUAGCGUUGUUCGGAAUUACUGGGCGUAAAGCGCACGUAGGCGGAUUAGUAAGUUAGGGGUGAAAUCCCGGGGCUCAACCCCGGAACUGCCUCUAAUACUGCUAGUCUUGAGUUCGGGAGAGGUGAGUGGAAUUCCUAGUGUAGAGGUGAAAUUCGUAGAUAUUAGGAAGAACACCAGUGGCGAAGGCGGCUCACUGGCCCGGUACUGACGCUGAGGUGCGAAAGCGUGGGGAGCAAACAGGAUUAGAUA
This 279-nucleotide ribosomal RNA is filed under the name uncultured bacterium. RNAcentral's name for it is "partial 16S ribosomal RNA". It matches the Rfam family "Bacterial small subunit ribosomal RNA", at positions 506 to 784 of the family's 1533-position model. The record is from RNAcentral.